UCGAACGAUGAAGCCCUUUCGGGGGUGGAUUAGUGGCGAACGGGUGAGUAACACGUGGGCAAUCUGCCCUGCACUUCGGGACAAGCCCUGGAAACGGGGUCUAAUACCGGAUACKACCGUCGGGCGCAUGCUCGGUGGUGGAAAGCUUCGGCGGUGCAGGAUGAGCCCGCGGCCUAUCAGCUUGUUGGUGGGGUGAUGGCCUACCAAGGCGACGACGGGUAGCCGGCCUGAGAGGGCGACCGGCCACACUGGGACUGAGACACGGCCCAGACUCCUACGGGAGGCAGCAGUGGGGAAUAUUGCACAAUGGGCGGAAGCCUGAUGCAGCGACGCCGCGUGAGGGAUGACGGCCUUCGGGUUGUAAACCUCUUUCAGCAGGGAAGAAGCUUUUGUGACGGUACCUGCAGAAGAAGCACCGGCUAACUACGUGCCAGCAGCCGCGGUAAUACGUAGGGUGCGAGCGUUGUCCGGAAUUAUUGGGCGUAAAGAGCUCGUAGGCGGCGUGUCACGUCGGAUGUGAAAGCCCGGGGCUUAACCCCGGGUCUGCAUUCGAUACGGGCAGGCUAGAGUUCGGUAGGGGAGAUCGGAAUUCCUGGUGUAGCGGUGAAAUGCGCAGAUAUCAGGAGGAACACCGGUGGCGAAGGCGGAUCUCUGGGCCGAUACUGACGCUGAGGAGCGAAAGCAUGGGGAGCGAACAGGAUUA
RNAcentral lists this ribosomal RNA (703 nucleotides) under Streptomyces sp. CNY-430. RNAcentral describes it as "bacterial SSU rRNA". It matches the Rfam family "Bacterial small subunit ribosomal RNA", at positions 62 to 780 of the family's 1533-position model. The record is from RNAcentral. Lineage: Bacteria; Bacillati; Actinomycetota; Actinomycetes; Kitasatosporales; Streptomycetaceae.